This 360-nucleotide unclassified non-coding RNA is filed under the name soil metagenome. RNAcentral's name for it is "partial contains 5.8S ribosomal RNA, internal transcribed spacer 2, and large subunit ribosomal RNA". The stretch from base 1 to 120 matches the Rfam family "5.8S ribosomal RNA", at positions 35 to 154 of the family's 154-position model. The record is from RNAcentral.
GAUGAAGAACGUAGCGAAAUGCGAUAAGUAAUGUGAAUUGCAGAAUUCAGUGAAUCAUCGAAUCUUUGAACGCACAUUGCGCCCGGUAGUAAUCUGCCGGGCAUGCCUGUCCGAGCGUCAUUUCAACCCUCGAACCACUAUUCGCGUAGCUGGAUCGGUGUUGGGGCACUACGGUGGAAUACCCGUAGGCCCCGAAAUGAAGUGGCGGUCCCGCCGCGGCGCCCCCAUGCGUAUUAACAUCUCGUCUCGCAUCGGGUCCCGGCGGAGGCCUGCCGUCAAGCCUAUUUUCUAAUUACAGAUGGUUUGACCUCGGAUCAGGUAGGGUUACCCGCUGAACUUAAGCAUAUCAUAAGCGGAGGA